GAUGAACGCUGGCGGCGUGCCUAAUACAUGCAAGUCGAGCGAACAGACGCGGAGCUUGCUCCUCUGACGUUAGCGGCGGACGGGUGAGUAACACGUGGAUAACCUCCCUAUAAGACUGGGAUAACUUCGGGAAACCGGAGCUAAUACCGGAUAAUCUAUUGAACCGUAUGGUUCAAUAGUGAAAGACGGUUUUGCUGUCACUUAUAGAUGGAUCCGCGCCGCAUUAGCUAGUUGGUAAGGUAACGGCUUAUCAAGGCAACGAUGCGUAUCCGACCUGAGAGGGUGAGCAGCCACCCUGGAACUGAGACACGGUCCAGACUCCUACGGAAGGCAGCAGUAGGGAAUCUUCCGCAAUGGGCGGAAGCCUGACGGAGCAACGCCGCGUGAGUGAUGAAGGUCUUCGGAUCGUAAAACUCUGUUAUUAGGGAAGAACAAAUGUGUAAGUAACUAUGCACGUCUGGACGGUACCUAAUCAGAAAGCCACGGCUAACUACGUG
This 497-nucleotide ribosomal RNA is filed under the name uncultured bacterium. RNAcentral's name for it is "partial 16S ribosomal RNA". It matches the Rfam family "Bacterial small subunit ribosomal RNA", at positions 28 to 507 of the family's 1533-position model. The record is from RNAcentral.